Molecule: ribosomal RNA, 560 nt
Filed under: Curvularia pallescens
Lineage: Eukaryota; Fungi; Ascomycota; Dothideomycetes; Pleosporales; Pleosporaceae
Description: SSU rRNA
Rfam family: Eukaryotic small subunit ribosomal RNA
Source: RNAcentral
GCAUGUUCUAGUAUAAGCAUUUUUACCGUGAAACUGCGAAUGGCUCCAUUAAAUCCAGUUAUCGUUUAUUUGAUAAUACCUUACUACUUGGAUAACCGUGGUAAUUCUAGAGCUAAUACAUGCUGAAAAUCCCGACUUCGGAAGGGAUGUGUUUAUUAGAUAAAAAACCAAUGCCCUUCGGGGCUCUUUGGUGAUUCAUGAUAACUUUACGGAUCGCAUAGCCUUGCGCUGGCGACGGUUCAUUCAAAUUUCUGCCCUAUCAACUUUCGAUGGUAAGGUAUUGGCUUACCAUGGUUUCAACGGGUAACGGGGAAUUAGGGUUCGAUUCCGGAGAGGGAGCCUGAGAAACGGCUACCACAUCCAAGGAAGGCAGCAGGCGCGCAAAUUACCCAAUCCCGACACGGGGAGGUAGUGACAAUAAAUACUGAUACAGGGCUCUUUUGGGUCUUGUAAUUGGAAUGAGUACAAUUUAAACCUCUUAACGAGGAACAAUUGGAGGGCAAGUCUGGUGCCAGCAGCCGCGGUAAUUCCAGCUCCAAUAGCGUAUAUUAAAGUUGUUG